Molecule: ribosomal RNA, 492 nt
Filed under: uncultured bacterium
Lineage: Bacteria
Description: partial 16S ribosomal RNA
Rfam family: Bacterial small subunit ribosomal RNA
Source: RNAcentral
GAUGAACGCUAGCUACAGGCUUAACACAUGCAAGUCGAGGGGAAACGACAUCGAAAGCUUGCUUUUGAUGGGCGUCGACCGGCGCACGGGGGAGUAACGCGUAUCCAACCUGCCCACCACUUGGGGAUAACCUUGCGAAAGUAAGACUAAUACCCAAUGACGUCUCUAGAAGACAUCUGAAAGAGAUGAAAGAUUUAUCGGUGAUGGAUGGGGAUGCGUCUGAUUAGCUUGUUGGCGGGGUAACGGCCCACCAAGGCGGCGAUCAGUAGGGGUUCUGAGAGGAAGGUCCCCCACAUUGGACCUGAGACACGGUCCAAACUCCUACGGGCGGCAGCAGUGAGGAAUAUUGGUCAAUGGACGAGAGUCUGAACCAGCCAAGUAGCGUGCAGGAUGACGGCCCUAUGGGUUGUAAACUGCUUUUAUAAGGGAAUAAAGUGAGUCUCGUGAGACUUUUUGCAUGUACCUUAUGAAUAAGGACCGGCUAAUUCCGUG